RNAcentral lists this ribosomal RNA (253 nucleotides) under uncultured bacterium. RNAcentral's name for it is "partial 16S ribosomal RNA". It matches the Rfam family "Bacterial small subunit ribosomal RNA", at positions 524 to 776 of the family's 1533-position model. The record is from RNAcentral.
UACGAAGGGGGCUAGCGUUGUUCGGAAUUACUGGGCGUAAAGCGUGCGCAGGCGGCUUCUCAAGUCAGGGGUGAAAGCCCAGAGCUCAACUCUGGAACUGCCUUCGAGACUGAGAGUCUUGAGUCCGGGAGAGGUGAGUGGAACUGCGAGUGUAGAGGUGAAAUUCGUAGAUAUUCGCAAGAACACCAGUGGCGAAGGCGGCUCACUGGCCCGGUACUGACGCUGAGGUGCGAAAGCGUGGGGAGCAAACAGG